This is a long non-coding RNA of Hydractinia symbiolongicarpus, 2133 nucleotides long. RefSeq lists it as uncharacterized. The transcript is spliced from 3 exons. NCBI's taxonomy places the organism in Eukaryota, Metazoa, Cnidaria, Hydrozoa, Anthoathecata, Hydractiniidae. The record is from RefSeq and is a predicted model, not a curated record.
AUUCCUCAAAAUCAGUACUAUGGAAAGACUUUCACUAUAUAACAAUGAAAAUAAUUUUUAACUGACCAUAAUGAUACUAUGAUCCCCUAAGAUAUCACACAGUCUUGAUUUCAAACCAUGAAGGAAAAAACCUAAAAAUUAUGUGAGGACAUUAAAGAGAUAUAUCGGUGAGGAUAGGUCCGGUUGUAAGGGGAUGGAGGAGACCGGCAAUUAAUACCUUAUGCAUACAAAAUUUUUUGUGUUGCUGGCCCAAAAUGCUAUAUUUUUAGAUGACUUCGUUUUCCAGAAAUAUGAGAAAUAAAUUUUUGCACAUGCCAAAAGAUUAGUAAAGGUAUUCAGAAAAAAGUAUUUUCAAAUGUGGAACAAAGAACUCAAUGUCUGAGGUUUAGGUUUGAAGUACGAACAAAUAGAACAUUUUUACGGAUAAGAGAUUUUAAAUUUUUCACAGAACUUAGUUUUGCGGUUUUCAGCCAAAUCCACAAAAAUAAGUUAUACGCAUAAGGUACAAUCAGUUAAAAAGGAAUCAAAUUAGCACCAAAUAUUUGAAAAUUAAUGUAUUUUGUAAUUUCACUGAUACUGUACACUUCCUGUUCCUUUGUUGCUCGCUUUUGUCUUUUUCCUGUUUUCAGGUACUAUAAUAAAAAUUCCAAGGAAUUUGUAGAAGACGUUAGCAAGUUUUUUCAAAUUCUAAUCGAAGAUAUAACGUGGCAGUUAUUUUAAAUGAAAAACAACCAGAUAAGUAGCUCUUAUUAAUUAAUUUUAUAUUUCAUAGGUGGGACUGCCAUUUUCACUAUGUAAUGUAAUUUUUAAGUUAAUUUAACAAUUUUGGAACCACACUCGUUUCAAUUUCACUUCUGUAUAAAAUGUGACAUUAUUAAGAGAUUGUACCGCCAGUGAGUUUUUUUUUAAUUUUUCAUAUCAUUAUUACUACUCUUUCACAGUGAGUUAGGACGGCCAAAUGAUACUUGUCAUGUCAUUUAAUUUUUGGACUGCGCAAUUCAUAAUGUAAAUUUGUAAAUCAUUUAGGAAAAUUCUCUACACUAACAAUGGUAUCCAUGACGCACCCUGGCAAUGGUAUCAAUGAAACAUACAUGAAGGAUUUAUUUGCAAAACAAAAAAUAACAAAAAAUGGAAGGUCAAAUUGAAGGUCAAAUUGAUUGCCAACUUGUCGCGCUUUAUGGUAAAUUCAUCGAGCACCGUAUUAAACAUCCCGGGUCAACGGGGUACAGAUCGUUUGGCCGGUGGCUCAAGCAAGGUGGUGUGGAAUGGACGGAGGGGGAAGAUGCCACGGAAACAUUAAGUAAGAUAUCAAUUUUCAAAUGUUCAAAGUUCGUGUUACGUAAUUAAACUAUGGUAUAUAUACUUCAGUUUUAUCUAUGAAAUUUAUUGAAUUAACCUUUCCUUUAUUUUUCCUUUAGUGAAUGUCUGGACUCGAUUUCUAAGGUACAGAUUGACCCACAGUGGUUCAAUGGAGGCUGAGGUGUUUGGACGUUGGGUCCAUAAUGGCGGAAGAGAAUUCCGAAAAAGCAAGGGUGAAGGAAGCAGUCGUGGUGGCCGACGCGGUCGUGGAGGUCAACGUGGUCGGGGGGGUCGGGGGGGGGGGGGGGGGGUCGUAUCAGACCUUACUAAUGUUUUUUUGUUUUUUUUUAAUUUCGUCUGUUAACCUUUAGUAGAAUGACGUAAGAUCUCAACAAGAACAAGUCCUUUUGAUUUAGAAUUUCGUACUCCAUAAGUCAGUGACAAAAGUAAUUUUUGAGUAACUAAACGGUCUAAUAUGUAAAAUAUACGCGGAUAUACACUACAAAUGGUAUUUGGGUAAAAUGGUCAUCAUUUCCGGUCCACAAAAUACAAACGAGAGAUUGUGAUGUGAUAUACACAAUAAAGAUAGUUAAAAUUGUUAUGAGUUGUCUACAAAGUUUCAUCGUGCAAUCAUUUGUAGCAUUGAUUUUUUAAGGUCCCGUAAAUCCUAUAAUUCCUGUUUCUUCGUCAAUUACGUUUUAUAGCAAGUGCUUCAGUUAACAUCCGCCUGAGACACAGACUUCGAAGUUGCUCUCCUCUCGUUCUACUGAAGGUUAACCCUUCUAAUUAUUUAUUACUUUAUUUUAUUAGUAUGAAUUAAAGAAUUCUAUUCCA